Molecule: transfer RNA, 64 nt
Organism: Cavia porcellus (domestic guinea pig)
Lineage: Eukaryota; Metazoa; Chordata; Mammalia; Rodentia; Caviidae
Rfam family: tRNA
About the family: Transfer RNA (tRNA) molecules are approximately 80 nucleotides in length. Their secondary structure includes four short double-helical elements and three loops (D, anti-codon, and T loops).
Source: Rfam
GGGGAUUUAGCUCAGCGGCAUAAGCGCCUGCCUUGCAAGCAGGCAGUCGUGAGCUCAAUCCCUG